RNAcentral lists this ribosomal RNA (500 nucleotides) under uncultured bacterium. Its description in RNAcentral is "partial 16S ribosomal RNA". It matches the Rfam family "Bacterial small subunit ribosomal RNA", at positions 29 to 523 of the family's 1533-position model. The record is from RNAcentral.
AUUGAACGCUGGCGGCAUGCUUUACACAUGCAAGUCGAACGGCAGCGGGGGCUUCGGCCUGCCGGCGAGUGGCGAACGGGUGAGUAAUGCAUCGGAACGUGCCCAGUCGUGGGGGAUAACUACGCGAAAGCGUAGCUAAUACCGCAUACGUCCUGAGGGAGAAAGCGGGGGAUCUUUGGACCUCGCGCGAUUGGAGCGGCCGAUGUCGGAUUAGCUAGUUGGUGAGGUAAAGGCUCACCAAGGCGACGAUCCGUAGCUGGUCUGAGAGGAUGAUCAGCCACACUGGGACUGAGACACGGCCCAGACUCCGACGGGAGGCAGCAGUGGGGAAUUCUGGACAAUGGGGGAAACCCUGAUCCAGCCAUGCCGCGUGAGUGAAGAAGGCCUUCGGGUUGUAAAGCUCUUUCGGACGGAAAGAAAUCGCUUCGGCUAAUACUCGGAGUGGAUGACGGUACCGUAAGAAGAAGCACCGGCUAACUACGUGCCAGCAGCCGCCGUAA